GUUCAUGCUUUUCUCUACACUCUUUUCUCUUUGAACAUGAUAAAACCUUAACUCUUGGCAGCUCUAACAUUUUAUAUUGUUGCGUAGAGUUUUUUGUGGGCCAUAAUGUAUAGAAUACAGAAGCCUGGUAGUUUUGGUCCACGCCAAUGAUGGAGAAAAAAAAAAAAAACUGAAAAGCAUUUCCUUUCUGUUAAGGUAAUGUCUGUAUGUAGGAACUAGAAGACUUCCAGGUCUCCCUCACGGUGGCAAGGUCCUUAUUAAGCCUCUUCUAACAGUUUUUAGAAUAAACACCUAAGGCUGUGUGGCUCGGCCUGCUCUUCCUUAUAAGAACCCUGCCAAAGCUCUAAUUUAGAGUUCUCUGAAGCCCUUGUAAAGUUCUGCUGCAGGUACUGAGGAAGACCUUGUGCAUACAUGCAUCUGGAAGGAUAUGCGCACUUAAGCUAAUAAAAGCUUUCUAAGUGUCAGUUAAAGGUACCAUCCAGUUUCAGGCACGUACAUAUCAUCAGCACAGAAUGGAGUGAGUGGAAGGUCCCACUGGGGACACUGAGCACUCAUGUACACCAGGAGUAUGACACGGGGGAGAAGGGUAGGUCUCAACUGUCUGAUCACAUGACAGCCUUUAUUAUGACUCUAGUGGAGGCUUUCUUACCGGCACAAGGCAAGGCACACUUGGCGGAUAUACCUGGGCUUGGUUGCAGUGUACCAGAGCCAGUCAUAGAUAGAUGUCUCCUUUGCCUAUUCCCGCUGCCCGAGUUGAGUUUAUCCACCUCAGUUCAGAAUGGGGAGUACAGUCCAAGGAAACUAUGAAGUGGUUCCUGAUGGGCCUUUUUGUUCUGCCUAUUUUUGAUGAACCAAAAUUGGCUUUGAUUAGGAAAGGUGACUGCCUACAGAGAUCUACAGUAGGUUUUUUUAACCUCAUACAAAUUAGAAUCAAGAUAAUUUGUUUGCCUGAAUAGACAUGUUAAUAGAAACCAUUUCCUAUUUAAAAGUUGGUUCAGGAAGCGCCCGGUUAAACAAAAAGGAAAAUUACCUAGGCACCUGCUAUCAUGUAUUUAAUCAGUGCAGUUCAGUAGCUUCCAUAAUUCACAUAAGCAAAUGUCUUCUUGCUUCACCCUCAACCAACAUCGACAGUUACAAGGAAAAGGUUGUAUAGCCCUUUCCCAUUUAUUCAAAAAACUGGACAUUGCCAACGUUUUCACCAAGUCACCAUAUAUUUAUGUACUUAGAAACGCAGACUCUAAGGCCAGGUAGGAUCAUUGCUUUCGGGGCUUCCCUGCGGAGGAACUGUGGACCUAGAAGUAAGGGUUCUUGGAUUUUUUUCAGGCUGUGGGGAGGGAGCAAACCUCGGCAGGCAGCCUGUCAUCCCUUCCUAACUUGCAUCUGAGCAUUCUCUUGAUCACUCAGAGCAUCACCUGCUGUCCAUCAUUGCAUCCGGAUGGUCAGAACAGGAAGUCUAACAAGCAUCCCUUACCUGGACCGUGGUGUCUCCAGGACAGCCAUGCCUAUUCCAGUUUGCUCAGGGGGCAGACAUUUUUGAGCAUAGCUGGAAACAGACAGACAAACUGAAAGCUAAUUUUACCAAUUCUUGGGGUGGCAGAGAGGUCAUAGAUGUUUUUACCUACACAUUUUCUGCAUAACAAAUACAACUUUACCUCAAAAGGUGAACACAGAAAACAUCACUGGUGUUUCUAGCCUUCUAUCAACAGAAGGCUAGAAAGCCGUCAGCACGCACAAGCCAGGCCUUGACUCAAACCAGUCACGCUGGUGUUACUCUGCCAGAUGAAGGGCUUGGCACUGGUCUGAGAAGGAAGAGCUGUUGAGCUUCUGGGUCUGUCUGUCUGUCUCUGUCAUAGGAGAAGGCCAGAAUAUCUUUCCUUGUUGCCCAGGAGGCUGAGGAACUUGUGUUUGCUUUCUGAAAGCACACCCACCCAUAGCCAGGAGUCUACAGCAACAACAUGGCCAUUUAUGCAGCAUCUUUCACCUAGGUAACCAGGGCAGUUGGACCCAUUUCUCAGAGCAGAUGAAUGUAUUAGGGGCUACAGGAGAGGGGGAAAAAGCUAAAAAGCCAAGCUGCUCUGUAAUUGUACCCAUGAACAGCAGAAGGCAAAACAGUAAAGGCUAUACUAGGAACUAAAUGAGUCUGGAAUACCUCCCAGAGUUCAGGUACUUGGAACCUGCCUCCCAGUCACCGGUUAGCUUAGGAAGCCUGUCGGCCAUUCCCUCAUCCAGUCAGAGGCUAAAGGUUUAGUGGCGCGCUGUUAAAUAGGUGGGAACAAUUUUGUACAACAGUAAGGGUCACCAAGCCUCUUGCCUUUAGGGAGGCAGGGCCCACAGAUGCUCAAAAGUGGCUUAGGUUUUGAUUCAAAAUAGGAGCUAUUAUAGUGCCCUGGGCUGGGUGAGAGCGAAUACUGUUUUUUUUCUCUGUUCUGGAAAAAAACCCAUGGUAAAAUAUUGGCUUCUCUACAUAAAUCAAGAGUGUUCUAAAUUUUACUCUUGCUAGAAGGGAAUCUGAGCCCUGCCUCUAAAAUAAAAAUGGAAGAUGCUUUUAUUGGUCUAGAGCACAACGGUCUACACACAGCCCAGGCAUUGCUCUAUUUGAAGCUGCACUGUGUCUGGGAUGCUCGGUGGCAACACUUUGUGUAUCCUUUGGUCUGUAACUCCCAACUACUAACUCUUCAUGACCUUAUUUCAAGAAUCUGGUACCAUGGGACCCGAAAAGCAGAGCCUGCUACAGGAAGCCGCCAGCCCUAGAUACUGGAGACAUACAACACUGUCACUUUUCCCUUGGAAGAGGCAGGAAGAAAUCCAGGUGUCAAAAGAAAAGUCAACAACCUAUG
Molecule: long non-coding RNA, 2837 nt
Filed under: Mus musculus (house mouse)
Lineage: Eukaryota; Metazoa; Chordata; Mammalia; Rodentia; Muridae
Description: long non-coding RNA chr18:44426682-44429519
Source: RNAcentral